RNAcentral lists this transfer RNA (70 nucleotides) under Scolytinae sp. BMNH 1039996. RNAcentral's name for it is "tRNA-Glu". Lineage: Eukaryota; Metazoa; Arthropoda; Insecta; Coleoptera; Curculionidae. The record is from RNAcentral.
AUUUAUAUAGUUUAAUAAAAACUUAGCUUUUUCAUUGCUAAAUUAGAUUAUUCUUUUUAUCUUAUAAAUA